CCUCCACAGACAAUAUAAUCAGUCGAGGACAGGAACCAGCGAUACAGGAAUGGGGUUCAUCAAAGGUCUCGGGGUUCAUUAGUCGUUAAUUACAACCCAUGCCAUAAAAACAUCGCGCUACGUAAUUUGUGUGGAAGGAGAACUCGUUGAAUAAUGAUUUCAAUUCUGUCAAUACCAUCUUCAAUGCGCCAAUAUUAUCUAGAAAGCUAAUCAACAUGUCGCGAUAUGUCUUAUAUAGUUUGUCAUUUUUGUUAUACGAGGCAGCAGGGCUUUUAUGAACGAACCAUGUUAGAACAAAGAAAGAGUCAAGUGAAAGCACGACCAUCGAUUUCUUACAAGUUAUUCACGGAACAGUCUUUAGAUAAUUUCUGGCACCAUGCAGUCAAAUUCAAAAUAUUUAACCAACGAAUCGAUAUCCGACCAGAACAGAUUCUUCAAACAAACGAGACCCCGUAUGUUUCUCCUUUAAGAGUCUGGACAGUAACUGUUUUAGGUUCUGACGUAUCUGGUCAGCUGGACAUACCAAAUGUUCGUAUAGGGUGGUUCAUCGUCUCGGAACUUAUAAUUAUCUGUUUUUUAUAAAGCGUUGACAGCAGUAGUAUCCGUGAGUGGGCGUCAUUUGACGUCGAGGCUCGAUUUAGAUGGUGUGUUGGUCGUUAAUACGGAAUGUAUUGAUCACGUUUGGACAACGCUUCAUCGAUAGACCUAGAUCGAUACGUUAUAGUACGUACAAAAACAGAAAACGAAUUCCUGGUUGUAGGGGGCGCUAAAAUUUCCAUGGAAACUUAUCAGACCAAUUACACGGUAUAUGUCAACGUUGCUGCGACUAUCGCUCAAGCGUUGCUACAACACUGAUUUAACGCCAACACGAAAUGGAGACUGCAUGCAGAUCAUACCUACUUCAGUAGGUCAUAGAUGAGUUUUGUGAUCUUGAUAAGGGAAAUGUUACUGACAUGCCUCCAACACUAUGCAGAAGGAUUCCAGUCAUUAUAAGUACUAGGAUCACGACUGAGAAGUUAACAGUAUGAACAUCCCAUUAUGUUGCAAGCUGUCGCCAAAACUUCACAGAACCAAAACCACAGUGUUUGGUUUCAGGCAACGGAGAAGAUCAAUAACAGGGAAGAGCAUUCCAUGACUUGCUUGAUGGAUUCUCCCAGAAUUGGUUGUUUCCAGCUGAAUUGAUGAACGGCGCCAAUGGAAUACAUCAGACGUACUUGAGCAUUCUGUGAAUGUGUCACUCUCAAAGCUGUCGUGUCUGCCAUCAUGCCAGCGGUCGUAAAUCUCAAAUAGCAAAUCAUCAACCAAAGAUGACUGAUGUUCCAGUCGCCAACUGCUGUGUUGGAAUUUAAGAAUCCCUUUCCCUCCAGUGUGAUUUCCCCUUGGACCUUGGGAGGGGAGGGACAAUACAUGUACAGAAGAAUGUGUUGCCAUAGUAACUGCAUCUGCAGAAAUUUAUAGUUCUAGAGGUGUUAACACCCCUAACAUAAUCUAUGAACAAUGCAUAUCAAAUGAGAAAAUCAUUUAAAUGUUUA
Molecule: long non-coding RNA, 1532 nt
Organism: Pecten maximus
Lineage: Eukaryota; Metazoa; Mollusca; Bivalvia; Pectinida; Pectinidae
Exons: 4
Source: RefSeq, a predicted model, not a curated record